GUGAAAACAUAGCAAGUCAUAUUACAGAGGAAAUAUCGAUCACAGAUAGGAGGAUGACAAAUUGAUAAAGCUCAGGAAACUUAAAUAACCUGAGAUUUUUCCUAGGAUGAUAUAGAUUAGCAGUCAUGAGAGAAGCAUGAUAAUACAGGAACCGCUGAGAGACAGAUAAACAAAGAAAUCUUAGCACUUGAGGUUGUAAUGUAAAGAUCCAUAAUGGGAUUAGUCAGAUAAUCUGAAAAGACAAUGAGAAUAUUAUCCCAUCUACCUCUACAGGCAAUUUAAAUUGUCCUCCUUUUGUAAAAGAGCCAUGAAAGUCUAAGAUACUCACAAAAUUUCUCAUUGCCUCACUUGAGAUCUUAAAUCAUUGACUUGAUUUUGC
RNAcentral lists this unclassified non-coding RNA (379 nucleotides) under Hevea brasiliensis (rubber tree). Lineage: Eukaryota; Viridiplantae; Streptophyta; Magnoliopsida; Malpighiales; Euphorbiaceae. The record is from RNAcentral.